Molecule: long non-coding RNA, 282 nt
Organism: Oreochromis aureus
Lineage: Eukaryota; Metazoa; Chordata; Actinopteri; Cichliformes; Cichlidae
Exons: 3
Source: RefSeq, a predicted model, not a curated record
AAAAAGUGCUGCUUUCGCUUGCGCGCCUGGAGCGCAGAGGACAGAGACAGAACGGCUCUUAGCGAUGCGGCGGAUGUGGUUGUGCUUCAGACAUGUCAGUAACACUGUGAAACCAAGUCACCAACGAAAAGUGGGCGUGAUGGUGGGAAGCAGAGUAGAAUGGGAGAGGAGAGGAAGAAAGGAGAGGUCCCUUUAUCCAGCUGGCUAUGUCAGCAAUAUAAAUGCCCAGUGAAGCCAAAUGCCUCAAAGAAACAUCGAGCUCCAGCGUGUAGUUCAAUCCAU